This 253-nucleotide ribosomal RNA is filed under the name uncultured bacterium. Its description in RNAcentral is "partial 16S ribosomal RNA". It matches the Rfam family "Bacterial small subunit ribosomal RNA", at positions 524 to 776 of the family's 1533-position model. The record is from RNAcentral.
GACAGAGGAGCCAAGCGUUGUCCGGAUUGACUGGGCGUAAAGCGCACGCAGGCGGAUGCGCGCGUGGGGUGUGAAAUCUGGCCGCUUAACGGCCAGGCGCCAUCCCAUACGGCGCGUCUGGAGUGAUGCAGAGGUCGAUGGAAUUGCCGGUGUAGUGGUGAAAUGCGUAGAGAUCGGCAGGAACACCCAGGGGGAAACCAGUCGACUGGGCAUCUACUGACGCUGAGGUGUGAGAGCGUGGGGAGCGAACCGG